RNAcentral lists this ribosomal RNA (443 nucleotides) under uncultured bacterium. Its description in RNAcentral is "partial 16S ribosomal RNA". It matches the Rfam family "Bacterial small subunit ribosomal RNA", at positions 338 to 795 of the family's 1533-position model. The record is from RNAcentral.
CCUACGGGAGGCAGCAGUGGGGAAUAUUGGGCAAUGGGCGCAAGCCUGACCCAGCAACGCCGCGUGAAGGAAGAAGGCUUUCGGGUUGUAAACUUCUUUUCUCAGGGACGAAGAAAGUGACGGUACCUGAGGAAUAAGCCACGGCUAACUACGUGCCAGCAGCCGCGGUAAUACGUAGGUGGCAAGCGUUAAUCGGAAUUACUGGGCGUAAAGCGCUCGUAGGCGGUAUGUCAAGUCAAGGGUGAAAUCCCCGCGCUCAACGUGGGAACUGCCUUUGAAACUGGCAAACUGGAGUGUGUGAGAGGAUAGUGGAAUUCCAGGGGUAGGAGUGAAAUCGGGAGAGAGCUGGAGGAACAGCAGUGGAGAAGGCGACUAUCUGGCACAUAACUGACGCUGAGGAGCGAAAGCGUGGGUAGCAAACAGGAUUAGAUACCCCUGUAGUC